UGCAGGGCAGGAUUACCCACAACCACCUUGUUUUAGGGGCCCAGUUUCCCCUCUUCAUACACGUGAGAUCUGACUCCCAUCGAUGAACCAACAGGUGCCGCAUGGCUACGGGGUCACAGUGUUCCAGUCCCGCUACAUCCUCACAAGCUGCCCUUAAUUUUUGCCUGUCAAUCCCAAAUGGCCAGUGCGGCGCGUUCCAGAAACUUUGUGCGCUCCUCCCGCAAGUAAGAGAACCUUGGCACACGUGGAUGAAUGGCACAAAAAGAGCUGCUCAAUGGGGUACCUAAAAAAUGAGAAGCCCUCCCCCACCACAAUGUUUUAUGAUUUCAUUGUCCUUUAAUAAAUCUGCUACAAUCUA
Xenopus laevis (African clawed frog) is the source of this 358-nucleotide long non-coding RNA. RefSeq lists it as uncharacterized. The transcript has 2 exons. The record is from RefSeq and is a predicted model, not a curated record. Lineage: Eukaryota; Metazoa; Chordata; Amphibia; Anura; Pipidae.